UGUGGUCGCUGUCGAUGAAGAUGAACAGG
This 29-nucleotide non-coding RNA is filed under the name Homo sapiens (human). The record is from RNAcentral. Lineage: Eukaryota; Metazoa; Chordata; Mammalia; Primates; Hominidae.